AUUAAAUAAAGACCUCCUAACUUUAUUUAAUAGAAUCCUAAACUUUUUUCAUAAUAAUCUCCGACAAAAGCCAUUCUUAUGAGUGGCUUUUGU
Molecule: small RNA, 93 nt
Filed under: Streptococcus peroris ATCC 700780
Lineage: Bacteria; Bacillati; Bacillota; Bacilli; Lactobacillales; Streptococcaceae
Description: Cia-dependent small RNA csRNA1
Rfam family: Cia-dependent small RNA csRNA1
Source: Rfam by way of RNAcentral